RNAcentral lists this long non-coding RNA (225 nucleotides) under Carica papaya (papaya). RNAcentral's name for it is "long non-coding RNA (CPAP_LNC009841)". Lineage: Eukaryota; Viridiplantae; Streptophyta; Magnoliopsida; Brassicales; Caricaceae. The record is from RNAcentral.
GAUAAGCUUUCUUGGUGGAGAUCCUGGAAUUUCUCAUUUUUCUUUUCCCCAACAUAAGCAAGGAAGAAGUUAUAAAAAAAUUGUCCAUGAAAACUUCCCAAGUAGUAGAGGUAGGCAUGACUUCUUUCUUAAGUCGCCACUAGUGUUUGACUUCACCGUUUAACAUGAAAGCUGCAAGAGAGACUUUUUAUUCUUCGGUCAAGUCUAGUACAUAGAAGAGCUUCU